Molecule: ribosomal RNA, 253 nt
Filed under: uncultured bacterium
Lineage: Bacteria
Description: partial 16S ribosomal RNA
Rfam family: Bacterial small subunit ribosomal RNA
Source: RNAcentral
UACGAAAGGUGCAAGCGUUAAUCGGAAUUACUGGGCGUAAAGCGCGCGUAGGCGGUGUGUUAAGUCAGAUGUGAAAGCCCUGGGCUCAACCUGGGAAUGGCAUUUGAUACUGGAUAGCUAGAGUAUGGUAGAGGUGAGUGGAAUUUCAGGUGUAGCGGUGAAAUGCGUAGAGAUCUGAAGGAACAUCAGUGGCGAAGGCGACUCACUGGGCCAUUACUGACACUGAGGUGCGAAAGCGUGGGUAGCAAACAGG